This 458-nucleotide long non-coding RNA is filed under the name Oncorhynchus kisutch (coho salmon). RNAcentral's name for it is "lncRNA (ENSOKIG00005004922.1)". The record is from RNAcentral. Lineage: Eukaryota; Metazoa; Chordata; Actinopteri; Salmoniformes; Salmonidae.
GCCAAAAAUCAAGUAUGGCGAAAUCUGUGAAUGAUUCUUGCACUGGUGCUUUCUCCAACGGGUCCUAAACUUUACACUUUGGAUAGAGUGGAGCUGCUGCUGCGUACGGAGACUGGAUAGAAAUCACCACAUUCAUGAGGGUGUUUGUUCAGCUAGGUUACAUUCAGCGCCAACAUUCAGAUUUGGACAACAAUAUCCGGAAAUGGUCAGAGGAGACCUGUACCAGGGAAUGAUGCAGUCCAUGUCCAUGAGGAGGAGGACACUGAAGGCAGAUGUGCUCCGGAAGGCCUGCAGGAUGGGGAGGGCCAAGAAGGUGUGUCCUUCUUAGAGUAAGAUGCCGUUGAUGCUGAGCUACUCUGAGAAGACGAGGAUGAAGAGAAUGAGAUCAAGGAGCCAGAGGAAGUUGAGAAGACACCACCUCUCAACACAUAACUGAUGUGUCAUUGUUAUCUAUUAUC